Long non-coding RNA from Salvia splendens (bonfire salvia), 764 nucleotides. RefSeq lists it as uncharacterized. The transcript is spliced from 3 exons. NCBI's taxonomy places the organism in Eukaryota, Viridiplantae, Streptophyta, Magnoliopsida, Lamiales, Lamiaceae. The record is from RefSeq and is a predicted model, not a curated record.
AACAGGAGUUUUAGAAAAUAGAAAAAGGAUUGGGAUAGAAAUAAAUGGAACCCAUCUCUCUCUUUCACCUUCUACGUCCCUCUCUGUACUCCACCGCCCUCCUGUGCUCCCUCCGUUCAGCCACUGCGCCACCACCGUGACAGUUUCGGCCACUCCACCGUGAUACAUGUAUCACACACCACCAACCCCAACUCUCAACUCUCCCUACUUUCUCUUAAUUUUGGAGCUUAGGUUGCAAACCCACCGCCACUUAACUUUCUCUCAAUUUUGAAGCUUAGGUUGCAAACCCACCGCCACUUAACUUUGCAAAGUCUUGAAAUUAGAGAAUUGAUAUUAUAUGAAAUGGUAUAUUGUUGAUAUCAGAUUGGGAGAUGUAAUAUAAAUAGACGACGUACGUUUUCCAGAGUAUAGUGGCGAGAGAUCUCGCUAGAUGGACAGCUGCGCGCGUCAAGUCACUGUCUCUUUUGUCGAGAAAGUUAAGAUGGUGUAUAUGUGGCAUGUUUAGUUGAGGAUUUGUAGAUAUGUAUAGUCUAGUUUUUCUUGUUGUAGCAGGUUGCUAAUUGUAUAGUAGUGUGUGUGAGUCAUGUUAAAGAAAAAAAAGUACACAGAAGAAAGACUUUUUCGUAAUAAGAGGCUGAGCGUAUCAAAAUGUGACACCAAUUAUUCGGUUUAAUAAAUCGAGUAAGGGGUGUUAUGGGAUGUCCUAAGCGCACAUGAUGUAAAACAAACUGCUAGAUUCAAUUACAUUGAUUAUGAACACAUCA